This 495-nucleotide ribosomal RNA is filed under the name uncultured bacterium. RNAcentral describes it as "bacterial SSU rRNA". It matches the Rfam family "Bacterial small subunit ribosomal RNA", at positions 17 to 507 of the family's 1533-position model. The record is from RNAcentral.
UCAUGGCUCAGAUUGAACGCUGGCGGCAUGCCUUACACAUGCAAGUCGAACGGCAGCACGGGAGCAAUCCUGGUGGCGAGUGGCGAACGGGUGAGUAAUAUAUCGGAACGUGCCCGGUCGUGGGGGAUAACGUAGCGAAAGCUACGCUAAUACCGCAUACGAUCUACGGAUGAAAGCGGGGGAUCGCAAGACCUCGCGCGAUUGGAGCGGCCGAUAUCAGAUUAGGUAGUUGGUGAGGUAAAGGCUCACCAAGGCGACGAUCAGUAGCUGGUUUGAGAGAACGACCAGCCACACUGGAACUGAGACACGGUCCAGACUCCUACGGGAGGCAGCAGUGGGGAAUUUUGGACAAUGGGGGCAACCCUGAUCCAGCAAUGCCGCGUGAGUGAAGAAGGCCUUCGGGUUGUAAAGCUCUUUUGUCAGGGAAGAAACGGUGAGUUCUAAUAAAGCUUGCUAAUGACGGUACCUGAAGAAUAAGCACCGGCUAACUACGUG